RNAcentral lists this ribosomal RNA (440 nucleotides) under uncultured bacterium. RNAcentral's name for it is "partial 16S ribosomal RNA". It matches the Rfam family "Bacterial small subunit ribosomal RNA", at positions 338 to 795 of the family's 1533-position model. The record is from RNAcentral.
UCUACGGGUGGCAGCAGUGGGGAAUAUUGCACAAUGUGGGAAACCCUGAUGCAGCGACGCCGCGUGAGUGAAGAAGUAAUUCGUUGUGUCAAGCUCUAUCAGCAGGGAAGAAAAUGACGGUACUUGAGUAAGAAGCCGCGGCUAACUACGUGACAGCAGCCGCGGUAAUACGUAGGGGGCAAGCGUUAUCCGGAGUUACUGGGGGGAAAGGGAGCGUAGAGGGCAAGGCAAGUCUGGAGUGAAGGUCGGGGGCUCAACACCCGGACUGCUGUGGCAACUGUACGGCUGGAGUGCAGGAGAGGUAAGCGGAAUUCGGAGUGUAGCGGUGAAAUGCGUAGAUAUUAGGAGGAACACCAGUGGCGAAGGCGGCUUACUGGACUGUAACUGACGUUGAGGCUCGAAAGCGUGGGGAGCAAACAGGAUUAGAUACCCGUGUAGUC